Long non-coding RNA from Sycon ciliatum, 892 nucleotides. RefSeq lists it as uncharacterized. The transcript has 6 exons. The record is from RefSeq and is a predicted model, not a curated record. Lineage: Eukaryota; Metazoa; Porifera; Calcarea; Leucosolenida; Sycettidae.
GGAAUUACUUUAUUGGAAGUACCCACGACGGGGAAAAUAGUCUCUCUAGUAUUGUCGGUGAAUGGUGAUGGUGGUGGUGGCGAUGGCUACUUUCCUCUGCUCAGAGAGAACCCCUGCAUGUCCUUCGUCGUGAUGCAAAAGAGCAGUGGAUGCAGAAAAUGUCUCUACCUGCCAGGAUGGUAUAAGAGCACGAACUGAAUCACCUGUUGGUGCAGAAGGCUUGGAGGACUGCUUUUGAAACAGUUGUUCAAAUUUCCUGCACCUCUUCGUAGCCGUUGUCUGAUUGCUGCAUUCUGGGGAGACUGAAGUGAAGAAGCCCUCACCGAAACCAACACUACGUUGCUGUGUUGUUUUCUUCCAAGGUCGGGCACAGUAAAGAAGACGACUCUGUAUCAAGGCACUACCCAGAGGGAGGAUGUUGGCCUUCUCCUGAUGGGAAAAUGUCUUCUUUCUCAUGGCGUAGUCAGGACUGCACUGACCCUACCAUCCACUUUACCUCUCCGGAAAGGGACUUGACAACCAGUCAAGAUGGAAGUGCAGAGAUAUACCAGCGCUUCUAGCAUUAACUGCCAAUUUGCACUGACGCAGCAAGACUCCCAACAGUCAAAAAGAAUAAUAUAGACAUGCAGAAAAUGUAGGAGAGCGAUGACAUCAGAAGGACACUCUCAGGUUCAGGGUACCUGUACUGCCCCAAUAAAUUGGGUCAGAUCCCAAAACGAGGUUGGCCGAAGCAAAAAAAAUAGAAGAGCCUGCCUUCAAUUGAAUAUGAGGAAGAAGAAGACAAAGAAAGAAAAAGAGUAGGAAUUUGCUUGUGUAAACUUUGUUUCCUCUGUCUAGGCUGCCAUCGCAUUAUAGCAGCCAACAGUGUGUGUGUGUGUGUGUGUGUGUGUGU